Triticum aestivum (bread wheat) is the source of this 139-nucleotide non-coding RNA. NCBI's taxonomy places the organism in Eukaryota, Viridiplantae, Streptophyta, Magnoliopsida, Poales, Poaceae. The record is from Rfam.
CCUCUCAGUGAUGUAGAGAUAAUCUCCCACAUCCUCUCUAGCGUUGAUCUCGACUACCAACCACUCAUCUCCGCCCUCGACAUCCACAUCGAGCCUCUCUCCCUUGACCACCUCUAUGCGUUAAUGUCAAACUUUGAUC